CAAUGGCAUAGUCCGGAAUAUAAAUAUAUAUGUAUAUAAUGGUGUGUAUAGACAGUAUAUGAAUAGAACAGUUGUGUACAGCAGUAGUUAUACAAGAUUAACCUUGAAUAGAAUAUUGUAUUUACAUAUGAAGUGGGUAAAACAGUAUGCACACAUUAUUCAAGUAACCAGUGUUCAAUGAUUAUGUACAUAGAGCAGCAGUCUCUAACAGUACUGGGCAGAGGCCGAUUAGUGGUUAGUGGUGACUAUUUAAAAGUCUGAUGGCCUGUAUAUAGAAGCUGUUUUUCAGUUUCUCGGUCCCACCACCUGCACUGUCUCUGCCUUCUAGAUUCUAGAUGGUAGCGGGGUGAACAGGCCGUGGCUCAGGUGGCUGAUGUCCUGGAUGAUCUUCUGUAACAUCUGGCGACAUAGACGUCCUGGAGGGCACGUCUACAUCCAAAAGGAUGGCAGACAUUGGGUGAAUAUUAAAUGUUAAUAUCUUCGGCCGUGAGUGAUGGAGAAAAAAAAUCGGCCACAAUGAAAAUAACUGGGAAAAUUCAAUGGAUAUUUUUGGUACAAAGGUGAUAAUGAAAGUGUCUUUUUAGGAAUUUUAAAAUUGGACUUCUCUAUGGGGCAGUCUAUGGGAAUUGUCCUUUUGGGCUUGGCUUCAGCUAAAAUGCAGUACCGAAAGUGCCCUCUGAGCACAGACCGGAACCCUGCCCCCCUGGACUGAACAUGUCCCACAGGGGGAGGGGCGUGGGGAGGUGGAUAGAAAGGAAGAGAGCUGUUUGGCUCACACUGACGUGCUGCUGGAGGCGCCUGUGUGCACAGCCAUGGAUGGUGUGUUGGAGGGAGCGGCUGUGGUGUGUGUGUGUAAACUGGCCUGCAGUCUUCUCUUCCUGCCCAUGGUCACUGCUUCUCUCAGUGCAGUCAGCUUCUGCUGCAACUGCCUGCUGCUCUUCACAGACCUCGUAGUCACAACUAUCCUGGUUGUCCUCUGGUUUGCAGACCCCUGGCUACCUCAGUUUUCCACGUCAUCUGAUGUCAUUGCCCUGCGCUUCCUGCUCUUCCUCAGCCACACCUACUGGGCGGUGCUGCUGAUGACCACUCCUCUUGUUGCCGUGGAGACUGCCAUGAAGUUGCAGUGGCCCCAGGUCCAUGGUGGCAGAGGUAGAGCAGUGGACGGGGACACAGGCGGACGUAGUAAAACUCCGGGCUCUAAAGCUCCUGCACAUCACCAUGGGGUGACAGUGGAGGUAGAGGACGGGCAGAGCAGGGACACAGACAGCCAGAGAGGAGGGAGAGAGGACCAGGAAAAGUGCCUGCCCCACAUCAUUUACUUCCUCUGCUGUCUGCUGGUGUGGGUUCUCUGUGGUGUCUGUGGGGGUCAGAGCUGGAGACUUUGGGUGAAGGUCUGCAUGGAGAGAACCAGCUCUCUCACUAUGUGCCUUCCCAGCCUCCCCAACAAUGUCCUGUCUGCUCUGGGUGAGCCCUGCUGGGCCCUGGCCACCGUGACCUUGGCCCUCCUGCUGGUGCUGACGGCGGGCUGGGGCCUGCUCAGACGACACCUGGCCCACACAGAGAUGGACACGCACUCAACGACACACAAGGGGGAACAUGGCACUGACAUUGAACUGCCCGCACAAACAUUCGCUGCACCAUGCAUGACUGUAAACCCUGCCACGUCAGCGGUGCCAGACACACAGUCUGUUGACCCAGAGACAACACGGUCCAGAUGCUCCCUUCACAGCCCAUGUUCCGGGAACAACAUACAGCUAUCACUGGCUCACCAUGGAUACUCUGUCCUCUUAUCGUUGGAGUGUUUGUCAGCAGACAUCCUAGAGGAACACAGAGAGACAAAAGGCCUAGGAGACAUGCCUCUCAGCACUACCGUGGAGGAACACACAGGCUCUACCUACAGGAGCCAGUGUGGGAUGGGGCAGUGGGGCUUUCCCUGCCUGGGGGUAAACGUAAUGACAGGGUUUGUGUGUCUGCUUAUUGUCUGUGUGUUACCUCUAAAUCUCAGCGUGAACAUCCUACUGAUCAGGCACAUAGAGACAAUGCUGGAGUGGAGUUUGAAGCUCUUAUUGUUUGUACCCAAAGAAGCCACAGACAACACAGGGCUCUCCCAGUCAAUGUAACACAGGCAUAAAGUCAGUGUACUGGACAAUAAACCCGGAUGGGGGUAGUGUUAGAUAUUAAAGUGUGGCUUGGGAAUGGGAUUGUGUUUGAGGGACUUAUUAGGUAUUGUCCGGGGGUAGGAUCAGACGAAUAUUACAUGUACUGUAGACAGCUGGUCUACCUGUCAAUGAUAAAAAGUAAACAAUUCCCUCUUUGACUGUGACUGUCUAUUCAUGCAUGCCGAGUGAUCUCUGGGAAGCUGCAGAGGAGUGCUGAAAAAGUCAGGUUGAGGCUUGCUUUCCAGAUCUAUAGACAUGCAACCCAA
Molecule: long non-coding RNA, 2425 nt
Organism: Oncorhynchus tshawytscha (Chinook salmon)
Lineage: Eukaryota; Metazoa; Chordata; Actinopteri; Salmoniformes; Salmonidae
Source: Ensembl